UUUUGACAUCGGUCUACACUGCUGAGGUCAUCGCCCCAGGAAUCUCUGGCAGGGUCUCCUCACGCCUGCCUUGUUCUUUCUGGUUCCACAGUUUGGAUGAAGCAUCAUCUCUGAUAACUGAGUAUUCAAAGCAUUGUGGGAAGCCUGUGCCAGCAGACACAGCUCCCUCUGAGAUCCUGAAGACAUUCCUUGGAUCGUAGUCAAACAAACAAGUUUUUGAAACCAAGAGGAAGGUCGGAGUCUGCUGCUAAUUAAUCAUAUUUAUUGUAGUGUACAAAUUGUGCAAUCUGUAUUUUGUUAUCCUGCAAGGAAUAAAUAAAACUUCAAUAUUGACAUGGCUGACCUGAAUAUCUCACAGGGGACCAGAGAGGACUCUCCAGCAGUUGGGAACACUGAAGGCUUCCAGGAGACCUAGCUCAGGCCCCAGCACCCAUCUGGGAGCUCACAACUUAAAAAAAUCCAGUUCCGAGGUUGCAUUCUCUUCUGGCUGCAUGGGUACCAGGCAUGUACAUGUUCAUGUACAUAUGUAUAUGCAGGCAAAACACUGGGGCAGUUAAAGAU
RNAcentral lists this long non-coding RNA (561 nucleotides) under Rattus norvegicus (Norway rat). Its description in RNAcentral is "long non-coding RNA NONRATT007958". The record is from RNAcentral. Lineage: Eukaryota; Metazoa; Chordata; Mammalia; Rodentia; Muridae.